Molecule: long non-coding RNA, 3443 nt
Filed under: Olea europaea subsp. europaea
Lineage: Eukaryota; Viridiplantae; Streptophyta; Magnoliopsida; Lamiales; Oleaceae
Source: RNAcentral
GUUUAGACUCGUUGUAAUCGGAUUAUUGCGAAUACUCUAUAGAACAUGGCAUAAUUUCAUUAACGGGACUUACGAACAAGAAUUUCAAACCCUAUUUCUCAUCAUCAAUCCUUCCACAAGGAUCUGAUGAUACGGGAAAGGGUCUACCUGUUAGAUUCAUCAUUCUUCAAAAGAUGUCGUUUCAAGUUGAAUUUCAUUGUUGUUAGAUGUAAAUAAUCACUACGUCAUAAAACGAUAUUAUAUAAAAAAAAAAAAAGCAGCUCUGAUGUUUGCUAUUAGGAAUAUUGAUUUCUGAAUAUUCUGGAAUUCCCUAUGAAUUCUCUUCUUGUUAGACCAGAUCAAGAAGAAAAAUACAGAAAGCAAAAGAAAUAAAAUACAGAAUAUCGGCCGCUGUACACCAAAAAACCAGUGUUAUUUGUCUCCUGGCCUUCUCACUCUGUAUGUCUUCUCUCUCUACAUAUUUCUAUCCCUAUCUGUUUGAUAUGGAAAAUAUCACAUAAUACGAUCCAAAUUCUACAAUAUCAAAUGGAAAAUCAAAUACUGAGCUCUAGAAAUUCAAAAAAUUCACAAUUUUUUAAGCAGAUAUAUAUUUAUAUAUGGACACAUGUAUCAAUAAAGUUCUUGUUAGUCGGUGAAGAAAUCGUUUGUGGAUUUGCAAUUUUCUAAUAUGGACCAUUGAUAUGCCCAGAGAAAAGUAAACUGUAAUUGAGAGAUUAAAAAACUAAAUAUUUUUAGGGGAGUUUAUAUCAUAUUGUCUUUUGGAUGAUUUGAGUGGGUGGUAGAGAUGGGAGAAAGGAUUCAAGGUUAACUUAUUGGAAGAUGCUGAGAUUGAAGAAGGAGAUGCUUUUUGUUAUGACGAUGGCAUUUUACAAUUGACCCUGAUGUUGCUCUAUUGUAGCCUUUUUGUAUUCCUAUUCCUUUCAAAUUUGCAUUUUCUAUGUUUAUCAAUCCCUAGUUCUAAAUAUGCGCGCAUGCAACUUUUUAUUGGAUUGUUCCUAUGGCAUACCAUGUUAAAUUGUUUACAACGUGUGCAAUUACAUCCAUUUUGAUCUUACUAUAGGUGGAUAAAUUAGCUUGCUUAAUUAGUUGAAGAUCCUUACUACAACCAAUAAUUAGUUAUCACUAGCAGCCAGCAGUCAUGCGACAAUAAGAGGCUGAUAGAAAGCUACUCAAAUGCACCAUUCUGAAGUGCGCUUCUGUGUAUCAUCUACUCAUGCUGAAGAGUCCAUUUCAAAAUUCAGGAUGGUUGAGAAGUCUGCUAAUUCUUCUGAGUCAAGAAUUCUGAAGAUCUGAAUCAAAGUUGGCACUGAAAAUUUGUCUACAUGAAACAAAUCCGUUGCCAAAAUGAUUAGUUUAUUUCUACAAGUCUAGAUGCUCAAGAUUCGGAUAUGUAAAAUGAUCAGUUUUUGAUUGAUUCUUCUAUUAUGCCUAGAAGUGGGAAGAUCUCUCAUGCUAACAGUCUUGUGUUGAGCAAAGAUCCACGCAAACUUGAAAAGGGCCAAAGAGAGUCUAGAGACAGACACAAGGACUUCAUUGGAGGCUUGGAAUGCAAGAAGAAGACAAAUUCGUCAAUUUCAGGUGAAAGGCCUUCCCCCGGAAGGCUGAAGGGUUCUCAGCUAGUUGAAAAAAGAGGCGUUGUUGAAUACCAGCUAUCAUCCAAAGAAAAUAUAAUAGUGAAAAGCUGAAAAUCCAUCAUUCACAGAGAAAUAUCUUAAGGUGGCUUCUAAUCUGCCGCCUCCUGGAAAUGGCCAAGUUCUGGUGCUAUUCCAUUGGGCGUGGUCCUUCUAGUCAAUGAAGAUUGGGGCUCAUGUGAUAAGCAUCAAAAUGGAGACUUCUUCCUCUUCAUACAAAGCCUAAGAGUCUUCAUUGAUAAAUGGCUUCAUAGGAUGCUUAACUGUCUGCAAGUUUUAUCAACAUUAUAUAUGUAGCAUUCUAUCACGUCCUUACCCCCUGUUUGAGCCCCCAUUUGAGGGGGAAAAUGUCUUUUGGAAUAAUGAUUUUUUGGAGAACGUUUGGCUAAAAUAUAAGGAAAAAUUUUGGGUUUAUGUGGAGGACAAUGUGUGGUUGAAAAUGAAUUGGAAAAAUGAGUUUUUGGAAAAAUGGAGGCCAAACAUAGGCUUAGACUGACCACAAGAAAUAAGUUCUAUCAACGAUUUUUAUUGUUUUUGACUGAUUAGAAAGAAAGAUAAUGUACAACCAAUUUACGAGCAUAAAUUUUAAACAAAUAAGUUGAUAAAAAUUAUGAUCCUUGUGAGUUCGAUGGAGAAGUGCUGUUGAAUUCCCCUGUUAAACUUUAUACUACUGAAAGGGAUCUCUCUCUCAUGCAUAUAGUACUUGAGUCCUGGCAACUUCGAUAUUUUAACAUCUCUCUAGGGUGGAACUCACAAUGUGAGUCAAGUAUCUGCUGGUGAAGGCAAGGCACUUAGUGUGGUACAACAUGAUAUUUCAACUCACCAUGUUACAGAUGUCUACAAUGAUCACUUAUGUCAAGGCAAUUGUAUGCUUGUGGCAUGCUUCUUCAGAGCAAUUCCCAGAUGAAAGAACAAAUGCUGAUCAAUCUUGAAACAGUGGGUCUCACCGAAAAAACUGGGAAGGAGAUUUCUUUGUGUUCUAAAGGCCAGACUUGUAGUUCUAGAUCAGACUUUCAUAAAGAUAAAAAAACAAGAUUUCUGAUUCUUCUCAUAAAUCCUGAGAACAUGUGCAUUCACAUGAGAAAAAAUCGAAGAGUGAAGGGAAUAAGUUUGAGAAAUUUUCCACACCUGACAAAGCCUCAAAGAAUAUUAUUCCAUAAUAUUAGAAAAAGCAAGGAUAAAAAGCAUAAUAUUCAAAGGGAGCAGGAAAAAAGAAAAUCAACCAUCCAGCUUCUCUCUGGCAAAAGCAACCAGGCCAAAUCUGUGGAAGUGGCAAGUCACACUUACUACCACCCUUAGCAAGAGGUCAGACUGAAAAAGUAUCACUUGCCAAGCCUAUUUCUGGAUCUCGGGAAGAACAUGGAGUAAAAAGUGUUUGUAGUCAAUGUGUUUGGAGAUGCAUUAGAGGCACCGAACCGUAUUAAGAAAGCUCAGAGCCAGAGUGGAAAUCUACCUAUUAAUUCAAGAUAUCCUCCGAUUGCACAUAAGGAAUGGGAUAUUGAAGCCCCAAGUUCGGCUCGAAGGGAUCCUCCAGUGACACUGCUAUCAGUGCUAUAAAACAAGUGAAUGACCUUAAACACCUGGCUGAUCGUCUUAAGGUUUGUACACUUCAAGUUGAUUCUGAUGUAGUUGUUGGCAUCAAUGUGUUGAUGAUCCGUAAUAUGGUUCUUUGUGGCAGAACUUUGGAUCAACUGAAGUGCAGGGUUUUAUUUCCAGGCUGCUCUCACAAGGUGCGGCACUGAAGUUUGUCAGGGGAAAAAACAAUUCUCAACCUGAUGAUCAAGUAUAUUAUUAAGUGUAUUGGACUGUCUG